Branchiostoma floridae (Florida lancelet) is the source of this 616-nucleotide long non-coding RNA. RefSeq lists it as uncharacterized. The record is from RefSeq and is a predicted model, not a curated record. NCBI's taxonomy places the organism in Eukaryota, Metazoa, Chordata, Leptocardii, Amphioxiformes, Branchiostomatidae. The transcript is spliced from 2 exons.
GAGGAACAGUCAAUGGUAUCUCCCAGUCCUUGGUGGCCUUUGCACGUCUACUGGGACCACUCGUAGGAGGGAACCUUUAUGCUUGGACAUCUGGGAAUGGUCUGCCCUGGCCGUUGAACUUCCACCUGGCCUUUUACCUGGCAGUGCUGAUAGACGUCAUCAUCCUGUGUCUGACCCUGAUACUCCCUGAUUCCAUCAACAAACCAAGGGUGGAGGACAUCAGAGAAGAUGCGGAGGAGAAACUCAUAGAUGAUAAAUCAGUCGUGUACAACCCUGCGGAAGAUUUAAAGGCCUCCUUUCAGUUAACUUCUGGCCAAAUCAGCAGUAGAGCCCGUUCCAAAUCACCAAGAGGGUUUUGAAAUAAUAUUUGUGCUGAGCACAGUUACGUUUGCGCGAUUUUAAGUAAACCUAAGAUCUUAGCUAUCCUCCCGCAACUGUUGCAUUGGUCAACUCGGCGAUCCCAACCCUUUUCUUAGUGUUGUGGGCUCUUUUAACAUGGUUGAGGCGUGGUUGUCCUCAAACCAGUACCUCCUUUCAACGUCCUACCCAAGGGAUUCCCGAGACUAUGUACUCCUUUUUUCACCAAAAUAUUAAACUGAUACUGUUUUCUGUAUUA